GACGAACGCUGGCGGCGUGCUUAACACAUGCAAGUCGAACGGAAAGGCCCUGCUUUUGUGGGGUGCUCGAGUGGCGAACGGGUGAGUAACACGUGAGUAACCUGCCCUUGACUUUGGGAUAACUUCAGGAAACUGGGGCUAAUACCGGAUAGGAGCUCCUGCUGCAUGGUGGGGGUUGGAAAGUUUCGGCGGUUGGGGAUGGACUCGCGGCUUAUCAGCUUGUUGGUGGGGUAGUGGCUUACCAAGGCUUUGACGGGUAGCCGGCCUGAGAGGGUGACCGGCGACAUGGGGACUGAGAGACGGCCCAGACUCGUACGGGAGGCAGCAGUGGGGAGUAUUGCAGAGUGGGCGGGAGCGUGAUGCAGCGACGCCGCGUGCGGGAUGACGGCCUUCGGGUUGUAAACCGCUUUCGCCUGUGACGAAGCGUGAGUGACGGUAAUGGGUAAAGAAGCACCGGCUAACUACGUG
RNAcentral lists this ribosomal RNA (468 nucleotides) under uncultured bacterium. RNAcentral's name for it is "partial 16S ribosomal RNA". It matches the Rfam family "Bacterial small subunit ribosomal RNA", at positions 28 to 507 of the family's 1533-position model. The record is from RNAcentral.